CCCCGCCGGCUGGUCCCCGUGUCCAGGAGGCAGCCAGCAGCAUCUGAGCCCCGGCCGGCUGAGCCCCCUACCCGCGGGGGAACAUGCACCCCAUCCCCGCAGAGCUGGGAGCCCCUGGAUCCUGACAUGGCCACGCCGGGCUCUGACCUGCCGCUGGAGGAUGGGGAGCCUCCGCCCCCCAACUCUCCUGGAGCCCCCUGGACCCAGGUGAAGGAGGAGGGGCCCCUGUCGAGGCCAGAGGCAGCGCUAACCCCAGAGACCGAGGUGCUGGGCACUGAUGGGGAGGGGUCGAUGCACAGUGCUGGUGAGAGGGCUGGGGGGGCACUGGGGGUGGGGGACAGAGUGGGGUUGGCAUGGAAGGGCCUGGGCCCCAUGAAG
Molecule: long non-coding RNA, 378 nt
Organism: Gopherus agassizii (Agassiz's desert tortoise)
Lineage: Eukaryota; Metazoa; Chordata; Testudines; Testudinidae
Source: Ensembl